CCUGCAAUGAUGAAUAACUUCAGACUUUCGUUCUUCUGAGUUUGCUGAAGCAAUUUCUUAUAUCUGAGAAGG
Pseudophryne corroboree (corroboree frog) is the source of this 72-nucleotide small nucleolar RNA. RefSeq annotates it as small nucleolar RNA SNORD59. Lineage: Eukaryota; Metazoa; Chordata; Amphibia; Anura; Myobatrachidae. The record is from RefSeq and is a predicted model, not a curated record. The transcript has a single exon.